This 68-nucleotide transfer RNA is filed under the name Neodon bomiensis (Bomi mountain vole). Its description in RNAcentral is "Neodon sp. bo BGI-2019 tRNA-Pro". It matches the Rfam family "tRNA". From Rfam's summary of the family: Transfer RNA (tRNA) molecules are approximately 80 nucleotides in length. Their secondary structure includes four short double-helical elements and three loops (D, anti-codon, and T loops). The record is from RNAcentral. Lineage: Eukaryota; Metazoa; Chordata; Mammalia; Rodentia; Cricetidae.
CAAGAAAUAGUUUAAUUAGAAUAUCAGCUUUGGGUGCUGAUGGUGGGGGAGGAGUCCUUCUUUCUUGA